RNAcentral lists this ribosomal RNA (452 nucleotides) under uncultured bacterium. RNAcentral's name for it is "bacterial SSU rRNA". It matches the Rfam family "Bacterial small subunit ribosomal RNA", at positions 340 to 783 of the family's 1533-position model. The record is from RNAcentral.
UACGGAAGGCAGCAGUGGGGAAUAUUGCACAAUGGGCGCAAGCCUGAUGCAGCCAUGCCGCGUGUAUGAAAAAGGCCUUCGGGUUGUAAAGUACUUUCAGUCGUGAGGAAGGUGUUAAGGUUAAUAACCUUAGCAAUUGACGUUAGCGACAGAAGAAGCACCGGCUAACUCCGUGCCAGCAGCCGCGGUAAUACGGAGGGUGCGAGCGUUAAUCGGAAUUACUGGGCGUAAAGGGCACGCAGGCGGUUAAUUAAGUUGGAUGUGAAAUCCCCGGGCUUAACCUGGGAAUGGCAUUCAAGACUGGUUAGCUAGAGUCUUGUAGAGGGGGUAGAAUUCCAUGUGUAGCGGUGAAAUGCGUAGAGAUGUGGAGGAAUACCGGUGGCGAAGGCGGCCCCGUGGACAAAGACUGACGCUCAUGUGCGAAAGCGUGGGGAGCGAAACAGGGAUUAGAU